RNAcentral lists this long non-coding RNA (315 nucleotides) under Homo sapiens (human). Its description in RNAcentral is "non-protein coding lnc-EXOC5-4:1". The record is from RNAcentral. Lineage: Eukaryota; Metazoa; Chordata; Mammalia; Primates; Hominidae.
CCAGCAAAAUAAAGAAAACACAAAAAGAAAUGAAGAACAAGAAUAGAAAACUGGGAGAAGCACAGGAAGGCUGACAGACAUCGUGAAGUGGAUGAGGAUUUUCCCUGGGGCCCCAAAACCUACUCUUCUCCUGGCAGUUUUAAAACCCAGAAGCCUUCCAAGCCCUUUCAUCAUUCAUCGCAUUACCAUAUAUCAAGAGAAGACAAGUCUCCCAAGGAGGGUAAGAAGGGCAAGAGAAGAAAAAGGAGAGAUGCUUGGAAGAUGAUGACAAUGAUAACUUAUUUCUUAUUAAGGAGAGGAAAAAAAAGUCUUAAA